CCUAAUACAUGCAAGUCGAGCGGACAGAUGGGAGCUUGCUCCCUGAUGUUAGCGGCGGACGGGUGAGUAACACGUGGGUAACCUGCCUGUAAGACUGGGAUAACUCCGGGAAACCGGGGCUAAUACCGGAUGCUUGUUUGAACCGCAUGGUUCAAACAUAAAAGGUGGCUUCGGCUACCACUUACAGAUGGACCCGCGGCGCAUUAGCUAGUUGGUGAGGUAAUGGCUCACCAAGGCGACGAUGCGUAGCCGACCUGAGAGGGUGAUCGGCCACACUGGGACUGAGACACGGCCCAGACUCCUACGGGAGGCAGCAGUAGGGAAUCUUCCGCAAUGGACGAAAGUCUGACGGAGCAACGCCGCGUGAGUGAUGAAGGUUUUC
This 382-nucleotide ribosomal RNA is filed under the name Jeotgalicoccus psychrophilus. Its description in RNAcentral is "bacterial SSU rRNA". It matches the Rfam family "Bacterial small subunit ribosomal RNA", at positions 47 to 419 of the family's 1533-position model. The record is from RNAcentral. Lineage: Bacteria; Bacillati; Bacillota; Bacilli; Caryophanales; Staphylococcaceae.